AUUGAACGCUGGCGGAAUGCUUUACACAUGCAAGUCGAACGGCAGCAUAGAGAGCUUGCUCUCUGAUGGCGAGUGGCGAACGGGUGAGUAAUAUAUCGGAACGUGCCUAGUAAUGGGGAAUAACUAGCUGAAAGGUUAGCUAAUGCCGCAUACGACCUACGGGUGAAAGCAGGGGAUCUUCGGACCUUGCGUUAUUAGAGCGGCCGAUAUCUGAUUAGCUUGUUGGUGGGGUAAUGGCCUACCAAGGCGACGAUCAGUAGCUGGUCUGAGAGGACGAUCAGCCACACUGGAACUGAGACACGGUCCAGACUCCUACGGGAGGCAGCAGUGGGGAAUUUUGGACAAUGGGGGCAACCCUGAUCCAGCCAUUCCGCGUGAGUGAAGAAGGCCUUCGGGUUGUAAAGCUCUUUCGCAAGAGAAGAAAACUUGCUAUCUAAUAAAUAGUAAGUAUGACGGUAUCUUGACAAGAAGCACCGGCUAACUACGUGCCAGCAGCCGCGGUAAUACGUAGGGUGCAAGCGUUAAUCGGAAUUACUGGGCGUAAAGCGUGCGCAGGCAGUUUUAUAAGUCAGCUGUGAAAUCCCCGAGCUCAACUUGGGAAGGGCGUUUGAACCUGUAAGACUAGAGUGUGUCAGAGGGGGGUAGACUUCCAAGUGUAGCAGUGAAAUGCGUAGAGAUUUGGAGGAAUGCCAAUGGCCAA
Molecule: ribosomal RNA, 700 nt
Filed under: bacterium IMCC8816
Lineage: Bacteria
Description: bacterial SSU rRNA
Rfam family: Bacterial small subunit ribosomal RNA
Source: RNAcentral